Perca fluviatilis (European perch) is the source of this 691-nucleotide long non-coding RNA. RefSeq lists it as uncharacterized. The transcript has 4 exons. Lineage: Eukaryota; Metazoa; Chordata; Actinopteri; Perciformes; Percidae. The record is from RefSeq and is a predicted model, not a curated record.
CAUUCUUCAGAUUUGCAUCGUGUCAGAGUUCUGCUCCUCUUUUUUUUCAUCUUCAGACUUUUAGAUUUCAACAUUUUUGGACCUUCAUUCCUGAAACUUUCUCCACCAGCUCUUCGGUAUCCCUCCUGCUGCUGACUCUAGAACUCAUCUCUCUCCUGUCAUUCAGGUAUCCCUCCUGUUGCUGACUCUACAACUCAUCUCUCUCCUGUCAUUCAGAUGAACAUGAAGAUCUCUAUCUUUGCCAGUGUUCUGCUGCUCUCUGCUGCUCUGAUCUCUGUUGACGGUGCUCGUAAAAAGACACCGUUUGAAAUGAACCAUAUCGCACCGAACAUGACUCCUCAACAAUGUUACGAUAAGAUGGUUGGACUCCUUUACUCUAGGGAUAGUAAUUCCUUCAUCAAAGCGCGUAUCAGUGUGGUCGGAAAUGUGUGUAAAGGAGAAGGAACUCCUGAUGGACUUAAUUUUAUAAGCAAAGACUACUUUGAUGUUGUUAAGUGUGUAUUGAACCGCACUACUAAUCAAUACGACGCUAUACCCAAACAUUGUAAAAUUAUAAUUGCAUGUGGUAAUUAUGAACCUGUUCAUUAUGUAGGGGAGAGCAACAUCUGUCGUUAAUCUGUUACUACGUGAUGAAUCAGAGUAAUCUAUUACUACCUGAUGAUACUACCUGAUGAAUCAGAGUAAUCUAUUA